Cryptotermes secundus is the source of this 709-nucleotide long non-coding RNA. RefSeq lists it as uncharacterized. The transcript has 4 exons. The record is from RefSeq and is a predicted model, not a curated record. Lineage: Eukaryota; Metazoa; Arthropoda; Insecta; Blattodea; Kalotermitidae.
AACAAACUUUUGAAAAUAUUAUUUAAAAAAAUAAUAAGUCUACAAAUAUCAAAACGCGAUACAAUUUGGAAAUUACGAAAUAAUAUACAUGAAGUUAACACGCUGGCCUACACAAGGCGUUAAACUGUAGACUUCAAAAUAGCGACAACCAAACAAACGAAGCAGUUAAGAUUAAAAGAUUACUGUCAAAACAAAGUUCUAGUAGAACAGCUAACACUUGACUGUACCAGUGUCGAGACCAGAAUGCAACAUAAUGCACCAAGCAUAUGGAAUGCAGUGGCCAAAGAAAAUCAAGCAGCAAUCGAGAGCGUGGAAAAGGUCAAGAACUACAGCUUAGCAGGAGGGAAGUAGUGGUACUCAAGAUCAUCAAUAGAUGUCACUGGCUGCCAUCCUGUGAGUACCACCUCCUUCCCUGAAUCUGGUGGUGUUGGAUUCCUGAAAUAAGUUAUGUCCUCAUUUAGUAAACUCUCAAAUAAAAUGUCAAAUGAUGAGUCUACCUGUUGGUAUGUAGGCCCUCACCCAGUGCGUGCAAAGUUGGUCCACAUGUGAAUGAGACAGUCAACCAUCUGCUCUUCCUCCGGUGUGGCAGUGAAGUUGCCAAAGAUCCUUCCUGAAGGGAACAGGGCUCCAUCUCCAGAGUUGAUCCCUGUCAACCAAGGAAUGGAGAGAGGGCUUUCCUGAAGGAGAUGUAAUGGUUCAGCAGGCAAGA